AAAUUGAAGAGUUUGAUCAUGGCUCAGAUUGAACGCUGGCGGCAGGCCUAACACAUGCAAGUCGAACGGUAACAGGAAACAGCUUGCUGUUUCGCUGACGAGUGGCGGACGGGUGAGUAAUGUCUGGGAAACUGCCUGAUGGAGGGGGAUAACUACUGGAAACGGUAGCUAAUACCGCAUAAUGUCGCAAGACUAAAGAGGGGGACCUUCGGGCCUCUUGCCAUCGGAUGUGCCCAGAUGGGAUUAGCUAGUAGGUGGGGUAACGGCUCACCUAGGCGACGAUCCCUAGCUGGUCUGAGAGGAUGACCAGCCACACUGGAACUGAGACACGGUCCAGACUCCUACGGGAGGCAGCAGUGGGGAAUAUUGCACAAUGGGCGCAAGCCUGAUGCAGCCAUGCCGCGUGUAUGAAGAAGGCCUUCGGGUUGUAAAGUACUUUCAGCGGGGAGGAAGGGAGUAAAGUUAAUACCUUUACUCAUUGACGUUACCCGCAGAAGAAGCACCGGCUAACUCCGUGCCAGCAGCCGCGGUAAUACGGAGGGUGCAAGCGUUAAUCGGAAUUACUGGGCGUAAAGCGCACGCAGGCGGUU
RNAcentral lists this ribosomal RNA (590 nucleotides) under Shigella sonnei. RNAcentral describes it as "bacterial SSU rRNA". It matches the Rfam family "Bacterial small subunit ribosomal RNA", at positions 1 to 580 of the family's 1533-position model. Lineage: Bacteria; Pseudomonadati; Pseudomonadota; Gammaproteobacteria; Enterobacterales; Enterobacteriaceae. The record is from RNAcentral.